UCCAAUAUGGCGGCGACGUAUGGUACACUGCGCACCAAAACUGCGCAGAUUAAAAAAAAAGAAAAGAAAAAGGACAACAAAGCGGAAGUCUGUUCUCUUUUUGUUGGACCGUCGUGUGGAGAGCUCGCGCAGCCAUUCGGCGUUUCUUGAUUUCUCUACAGGUGCUGGAUAAUCACUGGGAAUCACAAAUGUCUUCACUUUGGACCUCUAAUAUUUCUUGUUGUGCUCGCUAAACGUCAA
Nematolebias whitei (Rio pearlfish) is the source of this 240-nucleotide long non-coding RNA. RefSeq lists it as uncharacterized. The record is from RefSeq and is a predicted model, not a curated record. NCBI's taxonomy places the organism in Eukaryota, Metazoa, Chordata, Actinopteri, Cyprinodontiformes, Rivulidae. The transcript has 3 exons.